CCUACGGGAGGCAGCAGUGGGGAAUAUCGCACAAUGGGGGAAACCCUGAUGCAGCGACGCCGCGUGAGUGAAGAAGGAUUUCGGUACGUAAAGCUCUAUCAGCAGGGAAGAAAAUGACGGUAACUGACUAAGAAGCCCCGGCUAACUACGUGCCAGCAGCCGCGGUCAUACGUAGGGGGCAAGCGUGAGCCGGAUUUACUGGGUGUAAAGUGAGCGUAGACGGCAGCGCAAGUCUGGAGUGAAAGCCCAUGGCUUAACCAUGGAACUGCAUUGGAAACUGGGCGGCUAGAGUGCAGGAGAGGUGAGUGGAAUUCCAAGUGUAGCGGUGAAAUGCGUAGAUAUUAGGAGGAACACCAGUGGCGAAGGCGGCUCACUGGACUGUAACUGACGUUGAGGCUCGAAAGCGUGGGGAGCAAACAGGAUUAGAUACCCCGGUAGUC
This 440-nucleotide ribosomal RNA is filed under the name uncultured bacterium. Its description in RNAcentral is "partial 16S ribosomal RNA". It matches the Rfam family "Bacterial small subunit ribosomal RNA", at positions 338 to 795 of the family's 1533-position model. The record is from RNAcentral.